RNAcentral lists this ribosomal RNA (468 nucleotides) under uncultured bacterium. RNAcentral describes it as "partial 16S ribosomal RNA". It matches the Rfam family "Bacterial small subunit ribosomal RNA", at positions 28 to 507 of the family's 1533-position model. The record is from RNAcentral.
GACGAAUGCUGGCGGCGUGCUUAACACAUGCAAGUCGAACGGAAAGGCCCUGCUUUUGUGGGGUGCUCGAGUGGCGAACGGGUGAGUAACACGUGAGUAACCUGCCCUUGACUUUGGGAUAACUUCAGGAAACUGGGGCUAAUACCGGAUAGGAGCUCCUGCUGCAUGGUGUGGGUUGGAAAGUUUCGGCGGUUGGGGAUGGACUCGCGGCUUAUCAGCUUGUUGGUGGGGUAGUGGCUUACCAAGGCUUUGACGGGUAGCCGGCCUGAGAGGGUGACCGGCCACAUUGGGACUGAGAUACGGCCCAGACUCCUACGGGAGGCAGCAGUGGGGAAUAUUGCACAAUGGGCGGAAGCCUGAUGCAGCAACGCCGCGUGCGGGAUGACGGCCUUCGGGUUGUAAACCGCUUUCGCCUGUGACGAAGCGUGAGUGACGGUAAUGGGUAAAGAAGCACCGGCUAACUACGUG